RNAcentral lists this ribosomal RNA (429 nucleotides) under Acidobacteriota bacterium. RNAcentral's name for it is "Acidobacteria bacterium partial 16S ribosomal RNA". It matches the Rfam family "Bacterial small subunit ribosomal RNA", at positions 355 to 776 of the family's 1533-position model. Lineage: Bacteria; Pseudomonadati; Acidobacteriota. The record is from RNAcentral.
CGGGGAAUUUUGGACAAUGGGGGAAACCCUGAUCCAGCCAUCCCGCGUGUGCGAUGAAGGCCUCCGGGUUGUAAAGCACUUUUGGCAGGAAAGAAACGUCAUGGGUUAAUACCCCGUGAAACUGACGGUACCUGCAGAAUAAGCACCGGCUAACUACGUGCCAGCAGCCGCGGUAAUACGUAGGGUGCAAGCGUUAAUCGGAAUUACUGGGCGUAAAGCGUGCGCAGGCGGUUCGGAAAGAAAGAUGUGAAAUCCCAGAGCUCAACUUUGGAACUGCAUUUUUAACUACCGGGCUAGAGUGUGUCAGAGGGAGGUAGAAUUCCGCGUGUAGCAGUGAAAUGCGUAGAUAUGCGGAGGAACACCGAUGGCGAAGGCAGCCUCGUGGGAUAACACUGACGCUCAUGCACGGAAGCGUGGGGAGCAAACAGG